RNAcentral lists this ribosomal RNA (410 nucleotides) under Klebsiella pneumoniae. RNAcentral's name for it is "bacterial SSU rRNA". It matches the Rfam family "Bacterial small subunit ribosomal RNA", at positions 353 to 780 of the family's 1533-position model. Lineage: Bacteria; Pseudomonadati; Pseudomonadota; Gammaproteobacteria; Enterobacterales; Enterobacteriaceae. The record is from RNAcentral.
AGUGGGGAAUAUUGGACAAUGGGCGAAAGCCUGAUCCAGCAAUGCCGCGUGAGUGAUGAAGGCCUUAGGGUUGUAAAGCUCUUUUACCCGGGAUGAUAAUGACAGUACCGGGAGAAUAAGCUCCGGCUAACUCCGUGCCAGCAGCCGCGGUAAUACGGAGGGAGCUAGCGUUGUUCGGAAUUACUGGGCGUAAAGCGCACGUAGGCGGCUUUGUAAGUCAGAGGUGAAAGCCUGGAGCUCAACUCCAGAACUGCCUUUGAGACUGCAUCGCUUGAAUCCAGGAGAGGUGAGUGGAAUUCCGAGUGUAGAGGUGAAAUUCGUAGAUAUUCGGAAGAACACCAGUGGCGAAGGCGGCUCACUGGACUGGUAUUGACGCUGAGGUGCGAAAGCGUGGGGAGCAAACAGGAUUA